This 70-nucleotide transfer RNA is filed under the name Holothuria forskali. RNAcentral describes it as "transfer RNA-Glu". The record is from RNAcentral. Lineage: Eukaryota; Metazoa; Echinodermata; Holothuroidea; Aspidochirotida; Holothuriidae.
GCCCUUCUAGUUUACCUUAAAAUAAAGGCUUUUCAAGCCUUAGAGCCAAGUGAAAAACUUGGGAAGAGUA